UAGGGUCACUCUUUAAAAGUGCAGAGUUGCAAGUAAAAAGAAACGUAGUUUUGUCCCUGAGCAAGAAUGACACGCAAAUUCAUGAAGUGUUCCAUAUUUUA
Small nuclear RNA from Homo sapiens (human), 101 nucleotides. The record is from Ensembl. NCBI's taxonomy places the organism in Eukaryota, Metazoa, Chordata, Mammalia, Primates, Hominidae.